Rattus norvegicus (Norway rat) is the source of this 590-nucleotide long non-coding RNA. RefSeq lists it as uncharacterized. Lineage: Eukaryota; Metazoa; Chordata; Mammalia; Rodentia; Muridae. The record is from RefSeq and is a predicted model, not a curated record.
GCCCCUCCACGGCUGGCACCUGGAACCUACGACUAUAGGAACUGCUGCAAGGAAGGGGUGACAAUUUACUGAAUUCAUUUUGUUCCUGCUUGGGUUUUUCUAUAAAGGGAUGUCUGUUCAGCUGGGGCCCAGGGCCGAAAACAUCUGAAAGCAGGUCUGCUCCGAUUAAACUCAAUGCUUUUAAAACUUCAACAAAGCAACGCGGACCACUUGCCACGUCGCCUGCACCUCUCAGGCUUGGCUGCGCCCCAGAGAGUCGGUCCUCGGAAGCCAGGCAAUGGUGGUGCAUGCCUUGGAUCCCAGCAUUCUGCAGUGGAAUCUGAUGCCCUCUUCUGGUGUGUCUGAAGACAGCUACAGUGUACACAUAUACAUAAAAUAAAUAAAUCUUUUAAAAACAAAAUCAGGAGCUGGAGAGAUGGCUCAGUGGUUAAGAGCACUGACUGCUCUUCCAGAGGUGCUGAGUUCAAUUCCCAGCAACCACAUGGUGGCUCACAGCCCUCUGUAAUGAGAUCUGAUGCCCUCUUCUGGUGUAUCUGAAGAUAGCUACAGUGUGUUCAUAUAUAAUAAAUAAAAACAAAACCAGUCACAAA